UUUAUGGAGAGUUUGAUCCUGGCUCAGGAUGAACGCUGGCGGCGUGCCUAAUACAUGCAAGUCGAGCGAACGGACGAGAAGCUUGCUUCUCUGAUGUUAGCGGCGGACGGGUGAGUAACACGUGGAUAACCUACCUAUAAGACUGGGAUAACUUCGGGAAACCGGAGCUAAUACCGGAUAAUAUUUUGAACCGCAUGGUUCAAAAGUGAAAGACGGUCUUGCUGUCACUUAUAGAUGGAUCCGCGCUGCAUUAGCUAGUUGGUAAGGUAACGGCUUACCAAGGCAACGAUGCAUAGCCGACCUGAGAGGGUGAUCGGCCACACUGGAACUGAGACACGGUCCAGACUCCUACGGGAGGCAGCAGUAGGGAAUCUUCCGCAAUGGGCGAAAGCCUGACGGAGCAACGCCGCGUGAGUGAUGAAGGUCUUCGGAUCGUAAAACUCUGUUAUUAGGGAAGAACAUAUGUGUAAGUAACUGUGCACAUCUUGACGGUACCUAAUCAGAAAGCCACGGCUAACUACGUGCCAGCAGCCGCGGUAAUACGUAGGUGGCAAGCGUUAUCCGGAAUUAUUGGGCGUAAAGCGCGCGUAGGCGGUUUUUUAAGUCUGAUGUGAAAGCCCACGGCUCAACCGUGGAGGGUCAUUGGAAACUGGAAAACUUGAGUGCAGAAGAGGAAAGUGGAAUUCCAUGUGUAGCGGUGAAAUGCGCAGAGAUAUG
RNAcentral lists this ribosomal RNA (717 nucleotides) under Staphylococcus aureus. Its description in RNAcentral is "bacterial SSU rRNA". It matches the Rfam family "Bacterial small subunit ribosomal RNA", at positions 1 to 700 of the family's 1533-position model. The record is from RNAcentral. Lineage: Bacteria; Bacillati; Bacillota; Bacilli; Caryophanales; Staphylococcaceae.